UUAAACUAAAGAGUUUGAUCCUGGCUCAGAUUGAACGCUGG
Molecule: ribosomal RNA, 41 nt
Filed under: Iodobacter fluviatilis
Lineage: Bacteria; Pseudomonadati; Pseudomonadota; Betaproteobacteria; Neisseriales; Chitinibacteraceae
Description: partial 16S ribosomal RNA
Source: RNAcentral